AUUGAACGCUGGCGGCAGGCCUAACACAUGCAAGUCGAACGAGUGGCGGACGGGUGAGUAAUGUCUGGGAAACUGCCUGAUGGAGGGGGAUAACUACUGGAAACGGUAGCUAAUACCGCAUAACAUCAGCUGUGCCCAGAUGGGAUUAGCUAGUUGGUGGGGUAACGGCUCACCAAGGCGACGAUCCCUAGCUGGUCUGAGAGGAUGACCACACACACUGGAACUGAGACACGUUCCAGACUCCGCCGGGAGGCAGCAUUGGUGAAUAUUGCAAAAGGGGCGCAAGCCUGAUGCAGCCCUGCCGAGUGUAUGAAGAAGGCCUUCGGGUUGUAAAGUACUUUCAGCGGGGAGGCGUUACCCGCAGAAGAAGCACCGGCUAACUCCGUGCCAGCAGCCGCGGUAAUUC
RNAcentral lists this ribosomal RNA (406 nucleotides) under uncultured bacterium. RNAcentral describes it as "partial 16S ribosomal RNA". It matches the Rfam family "Bacterial small subunit ribosomal RNA", at positions 30 to 526 of the family's 1533-position model. The record is from RNAcentral.